RNAcentral lists this microRNA (22 nucleotides) under Tetranychus urticae (two-spotted spider mite). RNAcentral's name for it is "tur-miR-210-3p". Its record names the gene tur-miR-210-3p. The record is from miRBase by way of RNAcentral. Lineage: Eukaryota; Metazoa; Arthropoda; Arachnida; Trombidiformes; Tetranychidae.
UUGUGCGUGUUUCAAGCGGCUG